This 107-nucleotide transfer RNA is filed under the name Photobacterium damselae. Its description in RNAcentral is "tRNA-OTHER". The record is from RNAcentral. Lineage: Bacteria; Pseudomonadati; Pseudomonadota; Gammaproteobacteria; Vibrionales; Vibrionaceae.
CGGUGAAUAGCGCAGUUUGGUAGCGCAUCUCUGCUCUUCGGUAAACAGCGGACCAGAGGGUCGGGGGUUCCUGAUCGAUCUAGAAGCAAUAGCCUCUUCACCGACCA